RNAcentral lists this ribosomal RNA (375 nucleotides) under uncultured organism. Its description in RNAcentral is "partial 16S ribosomal RNA". It matches the Rfam family "Bacterial small subunit ribosomal RNA", at positions 527 to 896 of the family's 1533-position model. The record is from RNAcentral.
GUAGGUGGCAAGCGUUGUCCGGAAUUAUUGGGCGUAAAGCGCGCGCAGGCGGUUCUUUAAGUCUGAUGUGAAAGCCCACGGCUCAACCGUGGAGGGUCAUUGGAAACUGGAGAACUUGAGUACAGAAGAGGAAAGCGGAAUUCCACGUGUAGCGGUGAAAUGCGUAGAGAUGUGGAGGAACACCAGUGGCGAAGGCGGCUUUCUGGUCUGUAACUGACGCUGAGGCGCGAAAGCGUGGGGAGCAAACAGGAUUAGAUACCCUGGUAGUCCACGCCGUAAACGAUGAGUGCUAAGUGUUAGGGGGUUUCCGCCCCCCUUAGUGCUGCAGCUAACGCAUUAAGCACCCCCCGCCUGGGGAGUACGGCCGCAAGGCUG